CGUAUUGUAGCGUAGUGGUAGCGCGUUGUUGUUGCCAGUAGGAGGUCGCGGGUUCGAUCCCCCCUGGCACCC
Molecule: transfer RNA, 72 nt
Filed under: Hordeum vulgare
Lineage: Eukaryota; Viridiplantae; Streptophyta; Magnoliopsida; Poales; Poaceae
Description: tRNA-OTHER
Source: RNAcentral